Long non-coding RNA from Pundamilia nyererei, 374 nucleotides. RefSeq lists it as uncharacterized. Lineage: Eukaryota; Metazoa; Chordata; Actinopteri; Cichliformes; Cichlidae. The record is from RefSeq and is a predicted model, not a curated record. The transcript is spliced from 2 exons.
AAGUCAAUGGAUCGGUGAGCACGGUAGUGCUAGAAAAUCUAAACCCUCUGACUGAGUACGUCAUCAGUGUUUACGCUGUGGUUGGCAAGCAGAGCAGCGAGCCUCUCAGGGGCACCGAGACCACCCGAGAUGGAUAGGUGCCAUUUGAGCUGGUGGAGGCGUCAUUCAGAAGGAAGUUUAACUCCUCUGCUUCAGCCGUAUGGUCCCAGUUCCCCCAAACCAGUCAGCCACUUAAAAAUACUCCAUCUGUGUUGGACUACGUGUUUCAUGUUGUGGCAUUUCAAAACACAUUUAUAAAUGUGACCACAUUACAAUUCUUGUACUCUCUCUGUUGACCUGAGGAUCAAUAAAAACAACAUGGCUCUCAUGAUCAA